Molecule: long non-coding RNA, 407 nt
Organism: Myotis brandtii (Brandt's bat)
Lineage: Eukaryota; Metazoa; Chordata; Mammalia; Chiroptera; Vespertilionidae
Exons: 3
Source: RefSeq, a predicted model, not a curated record
CUUACAGGACACAGACGGCCAAGUCUUCCUGAAUCCGGGACUACUGGUGGUUCUGUUCGAUGAUGUGCCAGUUCGGUUUGCAUUCCGGGAAUUGAACCCAAGACCCUUUGGUGAGUGGCCCAAUGCUCUAACCACUGAGUACACCGACAGAGCAAGCUCAUCUCCUUUUGACAACGUUCCUUCUUGGCCUGGUCUUGGGUCUCUGCCCUUUACGGAUAGCAGCCCAAGACCCUGGUGGCCUGUGAUUGUGUCUUUCAUGACACUCUCCAGUUUGAGUCCCUGACUCCUAUGCCUAGUUACAUUCGAAUGCUAUACUUUUUAUAUCGGAUGAUGGGAUCAGAAAUAAGAAAGGAGAAUUGAUACCCAAAGCAAUCUAUAAAUUCAACGCACUUUCCAUUAAAAUACCA